UCUCCGUAGGUGAACCUGCGGAGGGAUCAUUACUGAGUGAGGGCUCACGCCCGACCUCCAACCCUUUGUGAACACCUCUUGUUGCUUCGGGGGCGACCCUGCCGGCACUCUGUCGCCGGGCGCCCCCGAAGGUCUCCAAACACUGCAUCUUUGCGUCGGAGUUUAAAACAAAUUAAACAAAACUUUCAACAACUGAUCUCGUGGUUCUGGCAACGAUGAAGAACGCAGC
RNAcentral lists this unclassified non-coding RNA (229 nucleotides) under uncultured fungus. Its description in RNAcentral is "sequence contains ITS1, 5.8S rRNA gene". The record is from RNAcentral. Lineage: Eukaryota; Fungi.